This 253-nucleotide ribosomal RNA is filed under the name uncultured bacterium. Its description in RNAcentral is "partial 16S ribosomal RNA". It matches the Rfam family "Bacterial small subunit ribosomal RNA", at positions 524 to 776 of the family's 1533-position model. The record is from RNAcentral.
UACGUAGGGUGCGAGCGUUGUCCGGAAUUAUUGGGCGUAAAGGGCUCGUAGGCGGUUUGUCGCGUCGGGAGUGAAAACACUGGGCUUAACUCAGUGCUUGCUUCCGAUACGGGCAGACUUGAGGUAUGCAGGGGAGAACGGAAUUCCUGGUGUAGCGGUGAAAUGCGCAGAUAUCAGGAGGAACACCGGUGGCGAAGGCGGUUCUCUGGGCAUUACCUGACGCUGAGGAGCGAAAGUGUGGGGAGCGAACAGG